CCUACGAGGGACAGCAGUGGGGGAUAUUGCACAAUGGGCGCAAGCCUGAUGCAGCGACGCCGCGUGAAGGAAGAAGGCUUUCGGGUUGUAAACUUCUUUUCUCAGGGACGAAGCAAGUGACGGUACCUGAGGAAUAAGCCACGGCUAACUACGUGCCAGCAGCCGCGGUAAUACGUAGGUGGCAAGCGUUAUCCGGAUUUACUGGGUGUAAAGGGCGUGUAGGCGGGAAAGCAAGUCAGAUGUGAAAACCAUGGGCUCAACCUGUGGCCUGCAUUUGAAACUGUUUUUCUUGAGUACUGGAGAGGCAGACGGAAUUCCUAGUGUAGCGGUGAAAUGCGUAGAUAUUAGGAGGAACACCAGUGGCGAAGGCGGUCUGCUGGACAGCAACUGACGCUGAGGCGCGAAAGCGUGGGGAGCAAACAGGAUUAGAUACCCUAGUAGUC
RNAcentral lists this ribosomal RNA (443 nucleotides) under uncultured bacterium. RNAcentral's name for it is "partial 16S ribosomal RNA". It matches the Rfam family "Bacterial small subunit ribosomal RNA", at positions 338 to 795 of the family's 1533-position model. The record is from RNAcentral.